This 255-nucleotide ribosomal RNA is filed under the name uncultured amoeba. RNAcentral describes it as "partial 18S ribosomal RNA". It matches the Rfam family "Eukaryotic small subunit ribosomal RNA", at positions 933 to 1189 of the family's 1831-position model. The record is from RNAcentral.
GGAUUUGCUGAAGACUAACUWCUGSGAAAGCAUUCGCCAAGGAUGUUUUCAUUAAUCAGGGAACGAAAGUUAGGGGKUCGAAGACGAUCAGAUACCGUCGUAGUCUUAACCAUAAACUAUGCCGACUAGGGAUCGGGCGGUGUUUCUAUGAUGACCCGCUCGGCACCUUACGUGUUAUCAAAGUUUUUGGGUUCUGGGGGGAGUAUGGUCGCAAGGCUGAAACUAAAGAAAUGACGCAUGGMAMCAUMCKRWGGC